RNAcentral lists this long non-coding RNA (1150 nucleotides) under Callithrix jacchus (white-tufted-ear marmoset). RNAcentral describes it as "lncRNA (ENSCJAG00000085182.1)". Lineage: Eukaryota; Metazoa; Chordata; Mammalia; Primates; Cebidae. The record is from RNAcentral.
CUUAGCCUGCCCCUACAGAAAACAGAAGUGUCAGCGGAGGACUGUAAGUGCUAUGUGAUUGGACUACAGUGGCCGUCGAAUUUCACCUGCCCAGCACAUGUUCUCUCCUCCUCUCCUCCUCUGCCUUCUUUGGGUAAGAAUGCUGUUUUCUGUGGUUGCAGCAAUGGCUGGAUCUUGGCAGUCACACAAUAGAACAACCGUGAACCUGAGGAAGUGACCGAGUCACUGUGGGAUGCGAGGCAGUGAGAACACUUCAUCGCUGGCUGGAAAGCAUCCCAAGGUGGCUGAGAAGCAGACACACAGACAGAUUUUCUUCUACCUCUGCCACAUCGGAGACAAGAUCGACCCCUCCUGUUCUUCCUACUCCUCAGAUUACUCAACGUGAAGAUGAUAAGGAUGAAGACAUUUACGAUGAUUAUUUAUUUUUAUUUAAUGAAUAGAAAAUGUAUUUUCUGUUUUAGUUUCAAAAACUGCCUAUUCUCUUUCCAUAGGAAUUUAUAAAAUUUAAUCAUUUUUCUUUAUCAUCUGUCUUAAUGUGAUUCAACUAUGUAUUUUCUAUUCCUUAUCUUUUUUAAUAACAUUUUCUUUAGCUUAUGUUACUUUAAGAAUAUAGUAUACAAUACAUAUAAUAUAAAAAUAUGUGUAAAUUGAUUUUGAUCUGUCAGUAAGGCUUCCGGUCAACAGUAGGCUCUUAAAAGUUAAGUUUAGGGGAGUAAAAGUUGUACACGGAUUUCUGACUGCGUGGUGAGUCAGUGCUUCUAACCCCUGCAUUGUUCAAAGAUCAAAUGUAUAUAAUUUACUCUCUAGUAAAAAAAAAUUAUUCUGUUUUCUAUCUCCUUUCCUUGGUAUCGAGUAAAAAUAAAAUUAUGUCUGUUUUGUCUGAUACUAUUACCAUCACCCCCAGUCUCUUUUGAAUACUAUUUGUAUGGUAUAUAUUUUCAAUUAUUUCACUCUUCACCAUUUUUUUGUUUAUUGUAAGGUGUAGUUCUUAUUAAGAGCAUUUGUAUAGACCAUUUUUUAUCCAUUUUGCCAAUAUAUGCUUUCAGUUGAAGUGUUUAAUACAUUUGUAUGUAACUACUUUUAAAUUAGGGUUUACAUCUGAAAUUUUUCAAUUUGAUUUCUAUAAAUUAUCAAUCUUUUCUCCCUUUAU